This 462-nucleotide ribosomal RNA is filed under the name uncultured bacterium. RNAcentral describes it as "bacterial SSU rRNA". It matches the Rfam family "Bacterial small subunit ribosomal RNA", at positions 338 to 793 of the family's 1533-position model. The record is from RNAcentral.
CCUACGGGAGGCAGCAGUGGGGAAUAUUGCACAAUGGGGGAAACCCUGAUGCAGCCAUGCCGCGUGUGUGAAGAAGGCCUUCGGGUUGUAAAGCACUUUCAGUAGGGAGGAAGGUAGUGUAGUUAACACCUGCAUUAUUUGACGUUACCUACAGAAGAAGCACCGGCUAACUCCGUGCCAGCAGCCGCGGUAAUACGGAGGGUGCGAGCGUUAAUCGGAAUUACUGGGCGUAAAGCGCAUGCAGGCGGCCUGUUAAGUCAGAUGUGAAAGCCCGGGGCUUAACCUCGGAAUUGCAUUUGAAACUGGCAGGCUAGAGUCUUGUAGAGGGGGUAGAAUUUCAGGUGUAGCGGUGAAAUGCGUAGAGAUCUGAAGGAAUACCAGUGGCGAAGGCGGCCCCCUGGACAAAGACUGACGCUCAGAUGCGAAAGCGUGGGGAGCAAACAGGAUUAGAUACCCUGGUAG